UUUUUUUUAAAUGCACCAAAGGCCUCGGACACACUUUUGGUCGUAUUGUGCUCCGAUCAUCUCAAGACAGAAGGCCGCACAUAUAAAGAUUCCGUUCCAGCCGCGCUCGUGACGCAGGAGGUGGAGCUGCCGCCCCAUGAUGAUGAUGUCAUCGCCAGUAUGAAAAUGACAUCACCGUGACAUGAUUAUGACAUCCCUGCAUUAUGAUGAUGACACCACCAUGUAAGAUGACAUCACCACAUAUAACAACAUAACUGGAUGAUGCCAUCACUACCGAUGACAUCACCACAUGAUAUGACAUUAUCAGACAUGAUUAUGGUAUCGCCGUGUAUAAUGAUGACAUAGCAACAUGUGGAUGUGAUGUCAUCGCUACCACACGAUGAUGUCAUCAUCACGCACCUUGUUUGACUUGCCAAGAAAUCCAAAGGAGACGUUGGUGGUGGUGAAAGUAUGCGUCUUGUUACCAUGGUAACAACAAACAACCAAGCAACAAAGUCAAAAUCCUCCGCCAGUCCGUCUGUCAGGCAGUCCGGUUCAAGGCGCCAUCAAGGCCGCCAUCUUGUUCGGAGUGAAGAUCUCGAUCCAGUAGCCGUCGGGAUCCUGAACGAAGGCCAGACCUUUCCUCUUGCCUGCCGAGGCCACAACAAGCAGUCGGCACGGUAACAAACGCUCGGACUUCCGUUUUUAACAAUUCCGUUGUAGUCGUUAGGGAUUAAGUGAUUCGUGUAUAAAAAUCGUAUAUUUGGGAGGAGCGGUCUCAACCAUUCGUCAUUCCCGACUCCCCAAUCACUACAAAGUGAUUUUUGGGGACGUUCUAUCUAAGUCCACUAUGUACAAAAAAAAAAAAAAAUCAUGUUUAUUUUGUUUAUGUUGUGUGUGUUUACCAGAGUGUGGUUUCUUGAUGAAGGUGACGCCCAGAGAUUGAAACAAGUGGCAAGCGAUGCCAACGUCGGGCACGGCAAUGCCGAUGUGACCUUCAAUUUAAAAAAUAUAUCAAUAAAUAAACAUGAAAUGAUAUUCAUAUAUUUCAUAUUGUGAACGAGCAGCUGCAGUUCUCACCAAAGCCAAUAGGGUCGCUGUUUCCGUUGUGAUAAGACAAACUUGCAUCUGACUCGGACCCCCAGUUACUGGCACGCAGGCGCACAAAUAAAUCAUAAUAAAUGUAUGAUUUUUUGAUAUAACACUUGAAGUUAUUAUAUGAAGAACUAUGACUAAAUAAUGUUAAUAAUAAUGCUUUAAUGUCUAUUACUAUUGUUGUUUUUUGCUUGCAUAAAAAGAUGAAAGAUUUA
This is a long non-coding RNA of Phycodurus eques (leafy seadragon), 1289 nucleotides long. RefSeq lists it as uncharacterized. The transcript is spliced from 2 exons. NCBI's taxonomy places the organism in Eukaryota, Metazoa, Chordata, Actinopteri, Syngnathiformes, Syngnathidae. The record is from RefSeq and is a predicted model, not a curated record.